ACCUUAUAUAGAUGUAGUAACGCAAGACAGUUACGCAUUUCCCUGUAAGGUAGUGUUUCAAUAGAAGUGUAAACAACAAGUCUUAUUGUGUGGCUAUAAGUUGAAAUAAGAUGAGUUUAUAUGGAAUAGGUUAACCGUAAGACCUUGAGUUGAAAAACUCUAAAAUGAACCUAGAAAUAAAAGUUCUUGUUUUCUAGUUACGGUCAG
RNAcentral lists this non-coding RNA (207 nucleotides) under unclassified sequences. RNAcentral's name for it is "IS605-orfB-I RNA". It matches the Rfam family "IS605-orfB-I RNA". The record is from Rfam by way of RNAcentral.